GCCGGCGUGGCGCAAUUGGUUAGCGCGUCAGACUUUUACGACGGAAACGUCAGAUAAGGUAUCUGAAUGUUGCGAGUUCGAGUCUCGCCGUUGGCG
This is a non-coding RNA of Diplogelasinospora grovesii, 96 nucleotides long. Lineage: Eukaryota; Fungi; Ascomycota; Sordariomycetes; Sordariales; Diplogelasinosporaceae. The record is from the annotation of a GenBank genome assembly.